AACGAACGCUGGCGGCAUGCCUAACACAUGCAAGUCGAACGAAGCCUUCGGGCUUAGUGGCGCACGGGUGCGUAACGCGUGGGAAUCUGCCCUUUGGUUCGGAAUAACAGUUGGAAACGACUGCUAAUACCGGAUGAUGACGAAAGUCCAAAGAUUUAUCGCCAGAGGAUGAGCCCGCGUAAGAUUAGCUAGUUGGCGUGGUAAAGGCGCACCAAGGCGACGAUUCUUAGCUGUUCGUAAAGGAUGAUAAGCCACACUGGGACGGAGCCACGGCACAGACUCCUACGGGAGGCAGCAGUGGCGAAUAUUGGACAAUGGGCGAAAGACUGAUCCCGCAAUGCCGGGUGAGUGAUGAAGGCCAUAGGGUUGUAAAGCUCUUUUACCCGGGAUGAUAAUGACAGUACCGGGAGAAUAAGCCCCGGCUAACUCCGUGCCAGCCGCCGCCGUAA
Molecule: ribosomal RNA, 449 nt
Filed under: uncultured bacterium
Lineage: Bacteria
Description: partial 16S ribosomal RNA
Rfam family: Bacterial small subunit ribosomal RNA
Source: RNAcentral